GCCUGACUGGCUCAGUCAGUAGGGCAUGUGACUCUUGAUCUCGGGGUCAUGAGUUCAAACCCCAGGUCAGGUG
This 73-nucleotide transfer RNA is filed under the name Ailuropoda melanoleuca (giant panda). It matches the Rfam family "tRNA". Rfam says of the family: Transfer RNA (tRNA) molecules are approximately 80 nucleotides in length. Their secondary structure includes four short double-helical elements and three loops (D, anti-codon, and T loops). The record is from Rfam by way of RNAcentral. Lineage: Eukaryota; Metazoa; Chordata; Mammalia; Carnivora; Ursidae.